This 376-nucleotide ribosomal RNA is filed under the name uncultured bacterium. RNAcentral describes it as "bacterial SSU rRNA". It matches the Rfam family "Bacterial small subunit ribosomal RNA", at positions 521 to 896 of the family's 1533-position model. The record is from RNAcentral.
UAAUACGGAGGUGGCGAGCGUUGCUCGGAUUUACUGGGUGUAAAGGGCACGUAGGCGGUCCUAUAAGCCCUGCCUAAAAUGCUUGGGCUCAACCUAAGCGUGUGGUGGGGGACUGCAGGACUUGAGGACUGGAGAGGUAAGCGGAAUUCCCGGUGUAAGGGUGAAAUCUGUAGAUAUCGGGAGGAACACCAGUGGCGAAAGCGGCUUACUGGCCAGUUUCUGACGCUGAGGUGCGAAAGCUAGGGGAGCGAACAGGAUUAGAUACCCUGGUAGUCCUAGCCGUAAACGAUGGACACUAGGUGUUGGUUCCGUUAAGGAAUCAGUGCCGCAGGAAACCCGCUAAGUGUCCCACCUGAGGAGUACGGCCGCAAGGUUG